This 450-nucleotide ribosomal RNA is filed under the name uncultured bacterium. RNAcentral's name for it is "partial 16S ribosomal RNA". It matches the Rfam family "Bacterial small subunit ribosomal RNA", at positions 354 to 796 of the family's 1533-position model. The record is from RNAcentral.
GUGGGGAAUUUUGGACAAUGGGCGCAAGCCUGAUCCAGCCAUGCCGCGUGUGUGAAGAAGGUCUUCGGAUUGUAAAGCACUUUAAGUUGGGAGGAAGGGCAGUAAGUUAAUACCUUGCUGUUUUGACGUUACCGACAGAAUAAGCACCGGCUAACUUCGUGCCAGCAGCCGCGGUAAUACGAAGGGUGCAAGCGUUAAUCGGAAUUACUGGGCGUAAAGCGCGCGUAGGUGGUUUUGUAAGUUGGAGGUGAAAUCCCCGGGCUCAACCUGGGAACUGCCUCCAAAACUGCAUGACUAGAGUACGGUAGAGGGUAGUGGAAUUUCCUGUGUAGCGGUGAAAUGCGUAGAUAUAGGAAGGAACACCAGUGGCGAAGGCGACUACCCGGACUGAUACUGACACUGAGGUGCGAAAGCGUGGGGAGCAAACAGGAUUAGAUACCCCGGUAGUCC